This 23384-nucleotide long non-coding RNA is filed under the name Triticum aestivum (bread wheat). RNAcentral's name for it is "long non-coding RNA (TAES_LNC004464)". The record is from RNAcentral. Lineage: Eukaryota; Viridiplantae; Streptophyta; Magnoliopsida; Poales; Poaceae.
UUUUUUUUUUUUGAAAUGUGAUGGGUACGUACUUGAACGUGCAUGGAUGGAUCAAUUUUUAAACGGGCCAAUCAAGGGCCAGUGCAUGGAUCAUAUGUGUUGUGCAUGUGUAUUAUGUCUCGUCUGUUAGUCAAUCAUCGCGUCCAAAGGCCUCCAGUUUGCUCCAAAGAGAGUUUGUUCUGAGCACUGGUCGUUUGGAAAGACCAUCUGAUUUCUUAAUGACCAUGUCGGAAAAACCAUCUUCAACCUUAACAAUACUCACGAAAAUGCUUCCCUUCGAAUUACUUCGACGGCCAUCUCCCAUAACUCCCACUGAAGCUACUAAGUGAGUGUGAUUAAUACUGAUAAAGAGCGGCAGCUAUAUACGGCAGACGACGUGUGACUUGUCGACGGUGGAGGCGAGGCCGGCAGCUGCGUCGGGGUUCGGCGCGCCGUCCAUGGCGAGCGGACGGUAGGGUUUUGGGAAAGGGAGGAAAAUGAGGGUGGAUGUGCCACCGACCGACGGCCAUGCGGAGAACAAGGGCGGGCGUCGCCCCCGUUCGCGUUGGACAAACCCGGCCCAAAUUUGGGCAAGAAAUAGGCCACAGACGUCCAUUUGCGUCGGCGCGUUUGGCCGACAUUUUCAUCCAUUUCUACCCAAACAGACAUCGCAGACAGUUUGCGUCGGCGCGUUGGAGUUGCUAUAAGAACCGCCACGGUUCCUGCCUCAACCUUGCAUGAGACGCGUCAGCGCAUGCUACUAUAUGGAUGCUGAAGACUGAAGACACCAGAUCCACCACACUCGCACAUCUUUGCUCUGACCCAUGAAGCCGAACUAGCGUGGUGUCGGGCCUCCGAGCCCUGCUGCCUGAGCUUCAUCACCCCCUCCCUCACGACCACAGGCAAGAACAUCCAUGCACUAGCGGCCCCCGAAGCCAUUGUCGACGCUGCCAAAUCCAUUGCACACACAUCGCCUCAGACCUCCACAUGCCAGACCACUGCGCUUGCCGAACCGCCACGACUCCAUGCACGUCUGCUUGAGNNNNNNNNNNNNNNNNNNNNNNNNNNNNNNNNNNNNNNNNNNNNNNNNNNNNNNNNNNNNNNNNNNNNNNNNNNNNNNNNNNNNNNNNNNNNNNNNNNNNNNNNNNNNNNNNNNNNNNNNNNNNCGGGAGCGACACACUCAUUUGCACGUAUCUUUUUAUUUUGCAAAAUUAUUUCCACAUAUCUUGACUUGCUCAUUAUGAAAGCACUCCCAUAAGUGUGCAAGCAUCAACUCGUAUACUUUGCUGAAACACCAAUGAAUUUUCCAAAUGAUUGCAAGCAAGCUGGGAAAAUGAUUAUUUUCUUCAUCAUUAUGUAAAAUACUUGUUAAAAAACAAGGUAUAAAGAGUUAAGGUGCAUUGUCUGAAUGUAAUUUUUUUGUUUAAUAUAAUGUGUUUGGUAAAAAAAACCUGGACACAUGCGUCAAGUGUGGCCUACCAUUGCGAAAUAGUAGAGACUUGUGACCACCUGUGUACCGAAUGUCAAACUGAACGGCAUGCGACCUACUUCCUGGAAUACUGGGAUCGUAGGUUGUCUGGGUAUUUUGUAAGCUCUCCUUCCCACGUUUCUCUAUAGCUAAGCACGCAUUAUCUCCACAUUUCUCUAUAACUAACCACGAAGUAGAAACAGAUGUACAUGCAGUUAGGGUCCAUAUGCCACCGUUGGCUAUCUUCGCCAUUCCUGCAUGUGUUUAAAAGGAUGUUUAUAUCCAGACGUGUAGAAAGAGAGUAAGCCAUCAAGGAGUACUUGGCCUGGUGCAUCGGGAGGCACCUACAGCCAGCUCAAAACCCUUCCACUUUAAUGCCUGAGAAGGGAACAACUAGAUGGAGUGUUACAAUCUCACUAAUAACUCUCGUUAGUUUUCAAACUCAUUUCCUUAUUAAAAUGCUAGACGCUCUACGCAUGUGCAUCAAAGGCCAAACUUCCUGGAAUCCUGGGAUCAGAAGUUGUCUGGUGUAUACUGGCAGCUCUCCUUUCCACGUUCGAAGCAGUAUAUGAGUGGGCCCGAGCAACUAUAGUCAAAACCACUAUGACCGAGAAGGUCCCGCAGCUGAACAGGGAGAGCUGAACGGCACGAGGAAGUUUGAGAAUCUACAGUCCUUUGAUAGAGCAAUGAAAGACGGCAAGAUACGUUUCCAUUUUACCCCCAGUGUGUCAUUUUUUUCUUUUUCCUUUUUUUGAGAAAGGAGGUUGAAACGGUGGCCUCUGCAUCGGUAGAUGCACACAACCAUAUUUAUUAAUUAUUAUUUCAUAAAGGUCUGAUAAGAAUAUACAUCAAACAAUCUGAAGCCAUAACUCACCCCUACAAACUUGAUAUGGAAAAAACAGCAAACAUAAUCCACGCCCGCGUCGUCGCUCCCGCGGUGGCUCGAGCGAAACCCUAGCCCGCCACUCCGCCGCUGCUCCAUCCAUCUCCCCCCCCCCCUCGCCGCCGCCGGAGGAGGCCGGCGGGCUAAGCCCGCGCGGCGGACGGCGGCAGGCAGUUCCUCGCGUCCCCGUGCGCGCAUCUGGUGAGGGAGGCUCCAGCCCUCAUCCUGCUCCCCGAUGGCAGGCAACUCCCCUGGCCCGGCUCGACGGCGCACCCCGGUUGCGUCAUCCGGCCUCUCUGGCUGCGCUCGGUUGUGGCAUGGGGUGGGCCACCUGGUUGCCUGGUGGGUGCUGCACGCCCAGUGGCGCGUUGGUGCGCCAGUGGUUGGUCCAUUGCGGGGCAGGUGCGAGCGACCGCCGGAUCCAGUCGGGCUCGCCGGAUCUGGCCUGCUGGCUUUUGGUUAGCGAUGAGGUGGUUUGUGGUGGUCCUCUGGUGCUGCUGGCAUGGUGGGGUGGGGGUGGUGUGCGGGCUAAUGGAGUUGCGAUGCGUGGAGUUGUGAUGUUGGGCGGUGCUCCGAGCGGCUUUGGCCGGCCGAUGGCGUCGGCAUCCGUGGGCGUCAUGUUACCUCCUUGGGGGCAUCGCCGUGGAGUGCACACCCUCAGAUCCAGCUCUUCAGGUGAAAGCCUAAGGCCCGGUCGGGUCGGGCAACGGCGUCGGCAUCGGCAUUGUCGCUUCCCUCUUUGGGGCAGGCCUUGAAGAGCAUUGGUUCCCGUUCGCGCUCUCCAUGUGCUAGACGUUCACAACACUGCGGUAGGUAGGUGCCCGGCUGGCAGUGUGGCAAUGCGGUGUCCAGUUUGGCAAUGAUGAUGAUGGCUAGCAGUGUAGGGUAGCGGCAGUGCUUCGGUUGUCGGUUCUUCUGGGUCUCUUCUGGGUCUCGCCGUGCCGUCGUGGAGUCGGAGCUACCCGGGAGGUGCCUAGGCGAUGACGAUGACAAGUGGCUGGUGGUCUUCGAGGAGGUGUUAGUUGGCGCCUACUCUGCCCAUCUCUCUUGUGUUUUGGUGGUCUUCUUAGUCGGAGUUGUCUGGCGCCUGCGUCGGUGGCCAACUGUUGGCAUGGGCUGGCAUGGGUUCCGGUGUUUGCGGUGACAAGGACUUCGUUGGUGGAAGUCGGUGGUGAAGUCGGAGUCGCUGGCUCGUGGAGGAGUGACGACGAUGACACUUGGUGAUGACCUUGACUUGGUGUUUCUUCUAUUCAGCAUAGUUGUAUCUUCGUGUGGGUGGCCAGGUCGGCCGGUGUUGCCCUGUGUGGGCUGUUGUGGCAGAUUCAACCUGUUUUUCCAUUAAUUAACCGGGCAACCCUCUUCCUGUCCGCGCCAACGCAAAUGAUGUCCAAAUUUGGGCCGGGAAUCUGUCGAUAGGCGAACAAAAAGCGGACGCACUCCCGUUUGGGUCGACGCGUUGGACCGACUUUUGUAUCCGUUUUGACCCAAAGGGACACACGCGGACGACAUGGGUCAGCGAGUCAAAGUUGCUUUAACUAUAUUUUACAUGCUUGUCUCUCAUGUAGAAGCGCCAUGAACAUGCAAUACCUUUUUAUUGGAUGAGAGUUUAAUAGAAUUGGCUAGUUAAACAUUGAGACACACAUGUGUUUGCUCAAUGGACAGUGUGACGCGGUCCUUCAAUUGCAGGUUAGGACGAGUAAAAGUAGUAGUAGAAAGUAGUGCCAGAGUACCAAAAUGGUAAUCUUACAAGUAGCAGACUGGAACUCUAAAGAUGACAGUGCACCUGCAGCCAACAUGAAAUAAUGGUCCUGCAGCGUCUUGUUCGUAUAUGGUCUUGGCAGUGCUGCAUAGCACAUGACACCUUUCUAGUACAUCCGUGGCCCUGUAAACAACUCCAUUUCCAGGCUAGUUUUGGGUAGAUUGAAGCAUCCUAAUAAUGUGGUGAUAUAUAUCAGUGGUGUGAUGAUUAGGCUUGCUAGGCUGGAGCAUCCUGGUGUGGUUCUAAAUCAGUGACGUAAUGGUUGAUUUGUUGCCCUGUAAACAGCUGAAAAUGGGGCCAUGUGGCCCCUUUGAUAAAAAAAACAUAUGUGGCAAAAGCAGUGCACUGGUUCUCUUGUUUUCUUUUUAGCACACACGGUUGUGCAUGAAUAGUGGACCAUAGCGCUAUCACUGGCUUGCAUGUGUAUCUUGUAAGGGUAAUCUAUUCAUGGAGACAGUUGAAUAAUUUAGAUGUAAAUUCUAGAAUUACAAUGAAUAAAACGAGAAAGAAAGAGUAGAAAAUUUGCAUCUUGCUUGCAACACAAAACCACCUCUCCAUUAUCGCAUGCUCGUUUUGUUCCCUCUCUGAAGGAAGCGGUGCUACCCUCUAGUUUCUUGCGUCGGCCGGAUCUGACAUGCAGUACAUUAGUGUUUCAUGUGCCUCCUUGUUAAGUCCAUCAGCCACGUUUGCGGCGAGAUUUGCCUAGCUAGAACCGAACGAUGUUUAGUGCGACACAGAUUGGAGAACACUUGUAACAAGAAAGUCUUCAGGCGUGCCCUGAUUUUAUGGAAUAGAACAGCUAGAACCUAACAUGUCAGUAGAUGCUAGCGUUGAUGUACAACCUAUGGGCACUAGUUGAACUUAGUACGUUGGUAAUGUUCAGGUCCAUCAGUCCAUGUACUGUCGCACAGAAGUGGCAAAGAACGGAGACUCGGUAGUCGUCAGUCCAUACAAGCUCAGAGAGUCAGAGUCAACGAGUAGAGAAAGGACACUUGCAAAAAUGAAAACGAGCUAAGAAAGGGAAGAAGUAAACAAAAGCAAUGAUAGACAGUGUACUAGCUUGUUCAAUGGCAUUAGCGAAAAACUGAGAGCUCCAAUGAUGGACCUGAAACAUUUUUGUGUUUGGCGGGUGUGAGUAAUAAGCACGCGAAAUGACGAAUUAAUUGCUAGUGCACGCGAAAUGAUUAAACCUGAGUUGGCCCGCAAUCGCCCCAGUUUGAGUUUGUAUCAGACAUGAUGAAGGGCCGUUCUCUAACUCAGUGUUUAGGGGUUGGACAGUCAUCAAAAUCAUCACAAAAAAUGGAAAACGACUCGGAAACGAAAGCACAAAAAACCGACACUCACAUUAUCCUUGGAUGAUAGAACACUUCCAGCACGUCAUCAAACAGCAUGUUGGUGUCGUUCUGCAUUGAUACUGAGCGCUCGUCGGCGUCCACAACCGGGUCUCUCCGAGGCAUCGCCGUUUGCCUAGCCUGUUAUAGCAUAAUCUUGAUUAAUCUCAUAUUAGUUAGUUUGCAUGUGCUAGCUGAGUACGUGUGUUAGUACUACUUUGUGUCCGCUCAGAGUCAUGCACAACCUAUGCGUGCAUGUAGGAACAAAUGGAGUACUCUACAGUAGGAGAAGCAAAAGGUCCCGAACCUAGCAUGAGAUAGAAUGAAACCUUUGAGAGUAAAACCUACUAAAAAAGUAUAGAUGUAUGGAACCUUUCAAAGCUAGCAACGAAACAAAACCACACAAUAGCCUUCUCGAAAUAGAACAUGCUAGCUGACAGGUGCUGUAAAGGAGCUGCCCCCAUUCCACGAAUAACUCUUGCCUUUUCAGAACCUAGCUUGCCAUUUCCAUCCACAGCCCAAAAAGAGCCCCACAUGUUUUUCCUCUUCUGUAAAUGUGAUCUCCAAUAAUGCAAGUUCGGAUCUUGAUGCAAACCAAAGGUUCCGAUAGCACACUCUGGUGCUAGUGUAGAUAGGAAAGCUGUUCCCUAUAUAUAUAUACACACACACACACAUCUGGGCUAUUUUGUUUCGUGUAACACAAUAUUAUUAUUCUGUUACUCUACUUGAACUGACGGUUUCAAGCGGUUGUACUGAUGAUUUUCAUCUUGUCGAACUGAUCGUCCUCUCUAGUUCAAAAAAAAUUGUGAAUUUUUUCGUCGGAAUGGGGCGUGUAAUAUAUUGUUGGAAAGCUCUUGACAGCUACAUUACACUCAUAUAGGAUUUUUUUGCAAAAUCAUCAUGGUUUAAGAGCAGUUUUGAAAAAACCGUUUUUUUUCAAACCCGAAAAUGUGAAUCGUAUUUUGGACUUAAUUUUCAAACGGUUUGUCGGAAUUGAACAAAUAAGAUGGCGUUGGAAAGCUGGUAAAAUCUGCAUCUUCCAUAUAUCUACUGUUUUUUAAAAUUCUAUAAGGUUUAAACGUAGUUUGAAAAACGGUGAAAUUCUAGGCGAAACGUAUUUUUGCUUUUUUUGCAAACGGUUUGUCGGAUUGACGCAAAUGAUACGGUGUUGGAAAGCUAUGGAAAAUGCACAACUUUUUCGUAUUGAAAUGUUUUUCUAAUUCCUUACAGUUUAAACUCGAAUUCGAAUACGGUCAAAUUUGAUUUCGUACGCGUUUUUUUUAGUUUGUCGAAAUGGGGCAAAUAAUAUACCGUUAGAAAGCUAUCAAAUAUGCGAAACUUAAUCAUGUUGGACGGUUUCGCAAAUUCGUAAUUGUUUAAGAGUAAUUUUGAAUACGGUGAGUGUUGAGGAUAUAACCAUUAGAGUCACCAGCCCAGGAGGGGCCGGGUUACGUUAUAAUGAUCAUCACGUGAAGCCCAGUACCAGGCUAGAGGAUGGCGGAUCAAUAGUGGGCUUAAGACCCGGAGGCGGCUUAAGGCCCGUAGUGAUAAACCGCCGUUAUGACAAGACUUGUAAUGUAAGGCAAGAGUAGUUAAGAGUCCGAGCCGGAUACUGUUAUAAGCCGGCCGGGACUCUGAGAGCCGCGGGGCGUCAACCUCUCUAUAUAAAGGGACGACCCGGCGGCGGUUCAGGACGAGAGACAACAGAUCGAGAGCCGGGCAUAGCGAUUAAGCUCCCUGGUCAUCAAAACCCUAAGUAAUACCACCUCAACUGGACGUAGGCUUUUACCUUCACCGUAAGGGGACGAACUAGCAUAACCCUCGUGUUCCUUGUCCCGUUUAACCCCUUUAAGCUUCCUAGCUGCGAUGGCUCCACGACUAAGUCCUUGCACGAGGACAUCUGCCGUGACAAUUCCACGACAGUUGGCGCCCACCGUGGGGCCAGCGCACGGUGGAUUUGAAUUCUUGAAGGGCAGCUUCGAAGGGCUCAAGGGAUACGCUGUGGGCCGGAUGACCAAGAGUCGUCGCGGCAAGCUCUACAUCGACGAUGCAAAUUGGGGCCCCGACGCCGGCUCAAUUGAGUACGGGUACCGGGUCCCCUUCGGCGGAAUCCAUGUCUUUAUUGGCAAGAUUGGUGAGCCGGGCCCUGAGCCGGACCUCUGCGCCGAUCUCAUCGAGACGGCUCAACGUGCACGACCCGCCCGGACUUUGCCUGCCUUGAAGCGUGCUUUCGUGGGAUGCGUCCAUGGAGAGCUCUCUGAAGGAUCUGGAUCUGGUGAUGAGACGGCUGCUCGCUCUGACGGCGAGUCAUCCACAGAAGAGACCGAUUCAUUAUACCAACUUCAAGAUGGCAGGCUCAGGGGGUGUUCCGAUGGCGACAGUAUUCCGGACCCCUUUGAGCCGCCGAGCUGGGUUGGAAUCUUCAUGGCUGGCGCACAACCUAUUCAAAACCCCACCGCCGGGGCAGGAAGCCCUGUGCCCUCGCCGGCUCAGGUGCUGAUGGAUCUCACAAACAAGAUGAAGGUCCUGUUAACCGCUACGGUCGCCCCGGCGGAUCAAGCUCAGCAUGACGCGGAGGUGGCACAGUUAAAGCUCGAUCUAGCAAAGGCCAAGGAGGAUCUGGCGGCGGAAGGGAUCAGGAUGGCUGCAGAGAGGGCGGCUCUCGACGCCCAGACUCAGCUGAUUUAAGCGCAGUCUUUCCAGCUCACGAUGGAUCAGAACGCGUCCAAUGAGAUCAUGAGAAGGAGGCAUCAAAAGGCUCAAUCUCGACUCCCUCCGGUUUAGGAUCCUCAAAACCUCUUCAACACGCCUGGUGCAGGGCCCAGUAACCCGCCAGAGAUCACGGCACCCGGAGCUGGAACGCCGAUUCAGCCUCAAGUGAUGGGGCCUCCCCGGGUGAACACUACCCCGCCUCAGUACGUGCCAAUACCACCGGGUCAUUACGCCAACCCGUUGGAAAACAUGGUCGCCGCGGCGGCGCGACUGGCGGCUCUCCCAAUCGAUGGCGACUCUCCAACAGCGGUCGAAACCCGUCGGGUCAGAGAGCUCCUUUAGACGGCUCUGGCGCAACAGGAGGCAUAUUCUUAUAGCCGGGACAGGAUUCAUUCAACCCCUCGUCCAGGCCGGAGCCCGAGUUAUAGCAGGCACAUGGUCUCAGCGACCGGCUCAAGCAAUGUCCGACGCCGUGACUUGCCUCCUGGCCACGGCCCGGUUCAAAAUGAAGCUUUUAACGCGGUGGACCAAGACAGAGCACGGCAAGAGGCGGAGCGGGCGGCUCAGUUGACGGCUUACCACCCACUCCCGGCUUAUCUGACGGCUUCCCUCGAUGCGGGUAUACCUACGAGGACCGGAGGUGUUCCUUGUCUGGUGCCAGCUCUCCGUAAUGAACGUCUGCCCAAGGAUUUCAAGGGGCCUAGGAAGGUACCUAAUUACACGGCUGAUUUACAACCCGGAGCAUGGAUCGAGAGUUACGAGAUGGCUAUGGAGUUGCUGGAGGUCAGUGAAGCGGCAAUGGCCAAGUACUUCACCAUGAUGCUAGAUGGGACUGCCCGCACUUGGUUGAAAGGACUGCCACCGAACUCUAUCGGGUCUUGGGCUGAACUAAAGGCCCGGUUCAUCCAAAACUUUAAAGAUACCUGUAGGCAGUCUAUGUCAAUUGUGGAUUUGACUAACUGUAAGCAGCAGGAGGGUGAGUCUACAACCUAUUGGGUUCGCCGGGUCAAAGAGAUAAUACAUUCAUCUGAUAAGAUGGAUGCCGGCUCUGCAGUCUUAAUGUUAGAGCAGAAUUGUCGCUUUGUGCCCUUGAAGAUGAAGCUCGGGCGGCUCAAGCGCGAUUGCAAUGAUAUGGGUACGCUGAUGGCGGCUCUGGUUAAGUACGCCGACUCUGAUAGUACCAAGGAUCCCACGUCGGAUGAUGAAAGGACAGGGAAGGGAAAACGGAAUGGCAAUGGUAAGGGCCCCCAGCAUAACCCGGCAAACCAGGGAGGUAACAAGCGUAAGGCUGAUGGCAGUAUGGAGUUUGUGGCCAACGCCAGUUCACAGGGUAACAACCACCGGCGCAAGGGGAGACCACCUCCCCGUGCCGGCGGGUCAGGCCCGACGCUUGAGCAGUUGUUGAAUGAGCCUUGUCCAAGGCAUGGCUCUAGGGAAAAGCCGGCCACUCAUCUGUGUAAGGACUGUGCAAUCAUGAAGGCCUUUAAAAAUUCCAGUGCUUUCAAUGGCAACAGUGGCCCGGGCGGCGGCUCGGGCGCUGGCGGCUUUCAUGGCCCGGGCGGCGGUUCAAAUUCCAAUUCUCAGAAUGUUCAAGGGGGCUUUAAUCAGCAGUCCGGCCAGGGUCAUCAGCAGCAGCAGCAGGGGGGAUACCAGACCAAUCCAAAGCAGCUCAAUGGUGGACAGUAUCAUGUGUUUACCACCAGUCUGUGCAAGCGAGAUCAGAAACUUCAUAAAAGGGUUGUGAAUGCCGUUGAGCCGGCGGUUCCACGCUAUUUAAGAUGGUCUGAGCAGCCUAUUGUGUGGAGUAGGGAAGAUCACCCUCCCUGGGUUGAUAAUCCGGGUCACCUGGCCUUGGAGGUGGCUCCUCAGGUGGGGGGAUAUAAAUUCACUAAAGUGCUCAUGGACGGAGGCAGCAGCAUCAACAUCCUCUAUUAUGAGACCUUCCGUCGUAUGGGGUUGAUUGAUAAGAACCUCAGCCAGUCCAAUACUGUUUUCCAUGGUGUGGUGCCUGGUAAGUCGGCAUAUCCAGUUGGUAAGAUCGAGCUGGAAGUGGCUUUUGGAGAUGAGUACAACUACAGGGCGGAAAAAUUAACCUUUGAGGUGGUUAAGAUAAGAAGUCCGUAUCAUGCUUUAUUUGGGCGGCCGGCUUACGCCAAGUUCAUGGCGCGGCCGUGUUACGUGUAUUUGCAGCUCAAGAUGCCGGGUCACAAUGGGACCAUUACGGUUCACGGCAGCCGGAAGAUAGCCUUGGAGUGUGAGGAAGGUGACGCGGCUUACGCUGAAUCUGUUUGUGCAACAGAGGAGUUGAAGUUUUACAAGGACAAUGUUGACCCGGCAGAUAUGACGUCUUUGAAAAAGCCAACCACGGAGCAUGAGCCGGCAAUGAAAUUUAAGUCAGCUGAUGAGACUAAACUUGUUGACUUUGUUCCAGGUGACUCAUCUCAGCAGUUCAGCAUCAGUGCCAAUCUGGAUCCGAAAUAGGAAGGCGCUCUCAUCGAGUUCAUCCGUGAGAACAAGGACAUUUUUCCAUGGAAACCUUCUGACAUGCCAGGUGUACCUAGAGAACUCGCUGAGCACACUCUCAAUAUUGAUCCAAAAUUUAAGCCGGUCAGGCAAUUCCUUCGGCGGUUUAAUGAGGAGAGGCGGAAAGCCAUUGGUGAAGAGGUGGCGGCUCUUGGCGGCCGGGUUUAUUGUUGAAGUUUUUAUCCAGAAUGGUUAGCUAACCCGGUGCUCGUGCUCAAGAAAAACGGCACCUGGCGGAUGUGUGUGGACUACAAGGAUUUAAACAAAGCUUGUCCGACUGAUCCUUUUGCUCUCCCCCGUAUUGAUCAAAUUAUUGAUGCUACGGCGGGUUGUGAGCGCUUAAGUUUUUUGGAUGCUUAUUCUGGAUACCAUCAGAUUAAAAUGGCAGUUAAGGACCAGGAGAAGACGGCGUUCAUCACUCCCUUUGGAGCCUUCUGUUAUGUGUGUAUGCCUUUUGGGCUCAAGAGUGCACAGGCGACUUACCAGCGUUGUGUGCAGAAUUGUCUUCAUAACCAGAUUGGGCGCAAUGUUCAUGCCUAUGUGGAUGAUAUCAUGGUUAAAUCCAGGGAGAAGGAGACCCUGGUAGAUGAUCUUAGAGAAACCUUUGAUAAUCUCCGGGUUUACAAGAUGAUGCUUAACCCGGCCAAGUGUGUUUUUGGUGUUCCCGCAGGCAAGCUCUUGGGUUUUCUGGUUUCUCACAGAGGCAUUGAAGCUAACCCGAAAAAGAUCAAGGCAAUUACCUCUCUGGCUAAGCCGGCGUGCAUAAACGACGUCCAGCGUCUGGCGGACCGCAUCGCUGCUUUGAGCCGGUUUAUAAGCCGUUUGGGUGAAAAGGCCAUGCCACUGUACCAGUUGAUGAAGAAAACAGAUGACUUUAUCUGGAAUGAUGCUGCUAAUGCUGCUUUUGAGGAUUUGAAGAGACAGCUGGCUGAGCCCCCAGUCCUUGCUGCUCCUGUUGACAAGGAGCCCUUAUUGCUGUAUGUAGCCGCUAACACACGGGCCAUCAGUGUGGCUGUGGUGGUGGAGCGUAAGGAAGAGGGUAAGGAGUAUCCGGUUCAGCGGCCGGUUUACUAUGUCAGCGAAGUACUCAUUGAGUCCAAACAGCGGUAUCCACAUUGGCAGAAGCUUGUUUAUGGGGUAUUCAUGGCAAGCCGGAAGCUUAAGCACUAUUUCCAGGGUCACCCUAUCACUGUGGUUAGUUCUGCUCCCCUAGGAGAUAUCAUUCAAAACAGAGAAGCCACGGGAAGAGUGGCUAAGUGGGCUAUAGAACUUGGGCCUCAUGGUCUAAAAUACGUGCCACGCACGGCUAUCAAAUCUCAAGCAUUGGUGGAUUUCAUCAACGAUUGGACAGAGCUGCAGGUGCCUGAAGAGAAACCGGAUAAUACAUACUGGACUAUUCACUUCGACGGGUCUAGGCAAUUGGAGGGCUCGGGGGCUGGAGUUGUAUUAACUUCCCCUCGAGGUGACAAGUUUUGCUAUGUGCUACGGUUGAUGUUUCCCUAUACCAACAAUGCGGCUGAGUACGAGGCCUUGCUCCAUGGUCUUCGGAUGGCUAAGGAGAUGAGCUUGAGCCGGGUUAGGUGCUUUGGCGACUCAGAUUUAGUGGCUCAACAAGUGUCAGGCAAGUGGGAUUCCAAGGACCCUCUCAUGGCGGCUUAUCGCCGCGAAGUUGAUGCCAUUGCUGGACACUUUCAGGGUUACCAAGUAGAGCACAUCGAUCACAGGAAGAACGAGGCGGCUGAUGCAUUAAGCCGGCUGGGCUCUCAGCGAAAGCCGGUGCCGCCUAAUACUUUCUUGGACAUUUUGCAUAACCCUUCUGUUAAGUUGCCUACAGAGGAAGACCUGGCUGUCCUUGACCCGGAGGCAUAGUUGGUGGAGGCUCUCCACAUCACCCCAGACUGGACAGUACCAUACUUGGCUUACAUGACCCGGGGAGAAUUGCCUGAGGAUGAAACUUUGGCCAGACAAAUAACCCAGCGGUCUAAGUCAAUGAUAAUUAUCAAUGGUGAGCUGCAUCGUCGCAGUGUCACUGGAACUUUCCAGCGUUGUGUUUCCCCUGAGGAAGGUCAAGAAAUUUUACGUGAAAUUCACGAGGGGGAUUGUGGCCAUCAUGCCGGCUCAAAGUCCCUUGUGGCCAAGGCUUUUCGUCAUGGUUUCUAUUGGCUGACGGCUCAUGCUGAUGCAGAGGAUUUGGUCAGUAAAUGUGAUGGUUGCCAGAGGUUCUCGCGACGGGCUCAUGUGCCGGCUCAAGAAUUAAGGAUGAUUCCAAUUACUUGGCCAUUUGCGGUCUGGGGGCUUGAUAUGGUUGGGCCUUUUAAAAGGUCCAAGGAUAAGAAGACCCACCUCUUGGUGGCGGUUGACAAGUUCACAAAGUGGGUUGAGGCAGAGCCAGUUAGCAAGUGUGACGCGGCCACAGCGGUUCAGUUCAUGAAAAGGGUGAUAUUUCGCUUUGGUUUUCCACACAGCAUUAUAACUGACAAUGGUACCAAUCUGUCUAAGGGCGCCAUGGAGGAGUUUUGUCAACGGGAACAUAUCCGGCUUGAUGUUUCAUCAGUGGCUCACCCUCAGUCCAAUGGUCAAGCUGAGAGAGCCAAUCAGGAAAUCUUGAAGGGCAUCAAGCCCCGGCUUUUGGUCCCUUUGCAACGGACGCCGGGUUGUUGGGUGGAGGAGUUACCCUCCGUGUUAUGGAGCAUCAAUACUACUCCUAACAGGUCUACGGGUUACACGCCUUUCUUCAUGGUUUAUGGAGCGGAGGCGGUCCUCCCAAGCGACAUUCGGCAUGACUCGCCUCGAGUGGCGGCUUAUGUUGAGGCGGAUAAUGAGCGGGCGCGCCAAGAUGCUCUUGACUUGUUGGAUGAACAGCGUGACGUGGCAGCGGCUCGCUCAGCGAUUUACCAACAAGACCUGCGCCGCUAUCACAGCCGUCGGGUUAAGUCCAGAGUCUUCCAGGAAGGUGAUUUGGUGCUCCGGCUCAUCCAAGAUCAAACAGAUGCACACAAGUUGUCCCCGCCUUGGGAAGGGCCCUUUGUGGUCAGCAAGAACUUGCACAACGGGUCAUACUACCUUAUCGAUGUUCGGGAGCACAAAGAUUCACGUAAGUCGGAGGAAGAGACCCGUCGGCCGUGGAACAUAGCUCAGCUUCGGCCUUAUUACACUUGAGCCACCGGCUCUCAUAAUGUACAUAUAGCCAUGUAUAUAUUAUGAUAAAUAAUAAAGCAGGACCUCUGUCCUUCUCUCCUCCAAAGGCAAAUGUGUUAUUUUUAUUUCUAUUACAACAUUACAUGGUCACUUGGAGGGUGAUCCGGCUUAUGAUCGUAUUCGAAUCUAGCCGUUAACAAUAUGAUCACUUGGGGGCUUCCUGUUCAAACAUAGGUCGUAUUCGAACCAAAGAGAACAUAGUUGUCGAUACCCACUUGAUUGGCAAAUUGCCGAGCUCAUUGGGGAGUUUUUCUUGAUCAUAUUUGAAUCAUAGCUCGACCCCCUUUGGGAACCGACGUGGAUCGUAUUCGAAUCAGCGUCGUUAAACAACUCUCAAGGUCAUUUGGGGGCUUCCUGUUCAAACAUAGGUCGUAUUCGAACCAAAGAGAACAUAGCUGUCGGUACCCUCUUGAUCGGCAACGCCAAAGCCACUGGGGGCUAUAUGAUCGCAUUCGAAUAUUAGCUUAACCCCUUUGGGACGGUUCUCUGGUCGUAUUCGAAUCAGAAGCCCCUAAGUUUUGAUCUUUUGGUUUGCAACAAGUUCUUUUGAUCAUAUCAACAGUGUGCAAGGGCGGUUCUUACCCCGCCGGCUUAACUUUGAUUAACAAUAUUGAUAGCACACAAUAAGCAUUAUCGAUGCUGGUGAACCGGAGUUGAUUUCUCAACCUCAUUAUUUGGGUUACAUAAACCGGAAGUAUACUUGAAGGCUUGUAAGUAUGUUAUUAUGGUUACCUCGAGGAUACAAUUGAGGGCCAGUCUUUGGUGACUUUGGUUCAUAUUCCGGGUUAUAUGUAAAGUAUAUGACUCUCAGUGCGGUAAGCCGCCCAGAGACUUGUGAUUUGUUUUCUAUGCGGGACAAUUAAAGACAGCUCUUUAACUUAAGGAAAGUAGAUGAUCGAACAUAACCCGGACGAAUAUAAAGGAGCAGCUUCAAUGGAGUUAAGCAUUCUACACGUGCACGAUGGCACGACAAAAUUAAGUGUUUGUCCUACUCUAUUACAAAACUCCCCGAGUCCAAAAGGUGAGGCAUUGUUUUUAAGGUGUGACCAUGAGCCGCCUAAGAAAUCAAGGUGCUUGUUGGGUUGAAGCUCCCGGCUCAUCCCUCUCCGCUCCUCCGGCUGUUCCCAUGACCUAGAAGGUUGAUGAUUUCCAGUCAAUGCCGCUCAAAGCUUCAAAUUGAGCCUCAUCAUCAAUUAACCCGGCCGGGUCAACUUCUGGGGGCGAAGGUAUGCUUACGAGUCGGCGGGAUUAGGCUGACUGCUUCAUAGCGUGGAGUUGGGAUCCUCUGAUUCUCCGCGUCAUAGCUCGGCUGAUACUUGGUAAGAUCUGUGUCAUUUCCAAUCAAGGUAGCCACCGGGCGCACGCUCUUCACACAGGCGGCGAAGUCUUUCUGGUCAAAGGGGGUGCCAUCUUCCUUCAGGCUGGGGUAUCCAAGAGCGAUGUCGGCCGGGUCUAGCUCCGGGAGAAAAGCCUUGGCCCGGCUCAGAGCAGCUAUAGCUCCGGCUCUUGCAGAAGCCCGUCUCAGCUCUUGGAAGCGUUCAGGAAGAACGGCAAGCCGCCUGAGUACGUCUGCCAGGUGAGUCGGAACCUCAUUGGACAGAGCCACAACGGCUAAAGCACGCUGUGACCCGGUGUAGAGUUGCUCCACCAAGGUGUAAACAGCCUUCAGCUUGGUCAGCGCGUUCUUAUUAAGAUUGGAGCUUCUGGGACCUGCAUAAUAACGUCAAGUGAGCUGAUGGCAAUGGUGGGACUUAUGAGACAUGAAGAAUGUAAACUUGUUAAAAGCUUACAGAAUAACUUACCGAAGAUGGCGGAGACCAUCUGUGACACAUGGUGUUUCAAGCCGGAGAGUUCGGCGGUUCUUUCAGUAAGGGCAGCCUCCGCUUGUUCAGCCCGGCUGAGCAAGGCAGUCUUCUCGUCGGCCCAAGUUUUUCUUUCUGUUUCAAAUUUUUUCUUCAGUUUUUCUUGUGCAGCAACACUGAACUUAAAUUUGGCAUUGGCCUUCCGGGUCUCAGUUUCCUGAGUCUUCAGACGGUUCUUCAUCUCAGAGAUUUCCGAUUCAAAAUUCUUGCAGGCAGCCUGUACAAAUUCCGGGUUACAGUUUGAGUGAUUGUCAUGCAACAUUAAAGUCCCAAGCACUUUGCAAGCCAAGACACUUGGCACUUGGGGGCUAAUGUAUGCUGAAAGAUUCUAUUUAUAAGUGCCGGUUCAUGAAGGUAAGCCGGAAUUAAGUCUACAACAUAUUCUAUCAUAAGUAAUAGACUUGGGGGGCUAGCAUGGUAAGGAUGACUAUGGAGUAAGCAAGAGAGUUGUACCUCAGAUUUUUGCUGUAUCUGCUUCACCAUGUCAAUCUCUAGGUCCCGGCUGUUGUGCACUUGACCAAUAUAACUAGAAACAAUGUCUCCAAUGCUCAAGUUAGCAUAGUCAGUGAUAUCCAGUCUGGCCCUGCGGCGCUCCAGCGGUUCUUCUUUAGCAGAGCAUCUGGCCAGCACAGUGGGUCUUCCCGGCUCAACGUAUUCGGUCUGGGUAAUCACCACAUCCGGGUCAUCGGCCGGUUGAGCUGAGCUGGGGAUCUCCGGGUUGUCAGAACUCUCCAUGGCUUGUUGUUCAGUUGGAGCGGUGGUUUCUGGAGCUGGUGCAGACGGCGGCUCAGAAGCAGAGGCGUUGGGUUCAGUUAAGUCUGGCUCUUCGACCGGUUUACUUUUCUUUGCCCUCUUGCUGAGCUUUGCUUGUGCACUGAAAGUCAAAAGGUUAGUGUAAAAAACAUAAAUAAGAUAAGCACAAAAUGAGAUGAUCAUCAUUACCCGGGUGCAGUCUUGAAAGCUGGCAAGUUAGAUUGCAUGGAUUCACUGGAGGAAGGUGAAGUUUCCUGAUAGUUUGAAUCAGAAGAAUUGAGUGGUUGGCGAGUGAUGCCCGCCAAAGGAUGAAAAGGAUAUAAGUUGGAUAUAACCUCGGUCCGGCGCUUCCUUGAUGCUUCGGGUAAGCCGGAGGAGAGGUCUGCAUCCUUGCUGGCCCGGAUUUGCCUCCGGCUCUCAUGAAUCUGUUGCUUCAAAAGAAAUUGAGGAUCUUGAUAAGCUAAAGGAUGGGAAAAUCUUACUUUCCGGGUUACUCUUCGGACUUUCAGCCUUGGAAAGGGGUCCGAGUCGGAGGAAAGUAUAGUUACCUCUUCUAUCACCGGGUUACUCGCUCCGGUAUCCUCCUGCUGAUAAUCAAUGUCAAUAAGGUGGUUAAGAACAAACAAAAACAAGAGAAGAGCAUAAGAAUGAAGGGUUACCUCUGACUCGGAGGUGUCAUCCAGCUGAAGCAGGUCUGAGGCGCUAGGCUUACUCCCCUUCUUGCAGGGAGCGGCUCUCCUGGCGGCUUUCUUAACCUUCUUGGCUUUUUUAGCAGCCUCAUGAUCAUACUUGACCUUCCAGAACUUAUCAUUAGCCUGAAAAAUACAACAAAGGUUUCUUGAGGUUAAGAUGAAAAUGGUUAAAAUGGAAAGUAAGGUGCUCAGGUCAGUAGCUUACCGCCGGAGCCGGGUUAGCUUUGCAGAAGGGACUUAAGUCUGUCCUCCCGCAGUCUGCUAAGCUCUCGUUCAGAAGGGACUUGGUCAUGUCGUCAACAACGUCCUCAGAUAGGUCGUUGGGGCUGUGCCGCAGAGGAUCAUCCUUCCGGCCCGUGUAAUCACACAUUAAGCCGGGGCGGCGGCUCAAGGGAAUCACCCGCCAAGCAAUCCAGACCCGGACCAGAUCAACACCGUUAAGACCGUUUCCCAGAAGAGCUUUAAUCUUGUUGAUGGUGGGGAUAAGCGGUUGUCGCUCAGCUUGAGAUAAUUUGUCUGGCAGGGGUGAUUUGACUCCAAACGCAGGGCGCGAAAGCCGGGCAGAGGGUCUUCAUCAGCCGGAGAAGUAUCCUGGCAGUAGAACCAUGUCUGGUUCCAGUCCUUUGGGUGGCUUGGCGGCUCAGCAUAAGGAAAGAGGCAAUCUCUCCAUCGUUGGAUUGAAAUUCCGCCAAGUUCCAAGCUAGGCCCGUUGGCACACUCGUUCUGGCGGUUCAGAUAAAACAGCUCCCUAAAGAGCAGUAGGCUGGGCUCUUCUCCGAGAUAUACCUCACAGAAUACUUGAAAGUUACAAAUAUUCGACACGGAAUUGGGUCCAAUGUCUUGAGGUCGCAGAUCGAAAAAGUUCAGAACAUCUCUGAAGAAUUUUGAGCCAGGAGGAGCAAAGCCCUGGCUCAUGUGAUCAGCAAAUAUCACAACCUCUCCAUCUCUUGGUUGAGGUCUUUCUUCGGACGGGUCAGGGGCACGAUAGGACAUGACCUCCUUCUUAGGCAGGUAACCCGUCUUCACGAAAUCAUCUAAGGUAUUAUCAGUAACGUUGGAUCUCACGCAGUUGCACGUAAUGGGUGCCUUGGGAGCCUUGGGCGGCAUUGUGAAAGACGAAAUCCUAUGACAAAAGAAAAUGUCCGGUUCAAAUAUAAGCCGGAGGAAGAUUCCAGUUCAGUAUUCAAGAUGGCGGCUUAUGAAGGGGCCUAAUGAUAUAUGGCUAAUUGUCUCGGGUUAUCUAAGCCGCGGUGGAUGUCAUAAGUAAUUCAAAUUGUUUAAAACUCUAUCAUGAAUGAGCCGGAAAUUUCACAGCUCAUGGCCUCCUUUAAGCCGGCGAUAUGAGCCGCCAUAGCUAACAGAUGCAAUUUUUGACUAAGUGUGGCACAAACAGGUUUCACAGAUCGCAGUAAUUAUUUUGGAUCAAACGGUCGUCUAGAAAGGAAAAAAUUUCUAGACCUAAAAACUGGCGCAGAGAAGUUCGUAAGUUCUAAUGAGGCCUUUUUGCAAGCAAGAGGGAUCUGCUAGUACUGGAAAUGGGUGCGAAACCACUACCGCAGGAGUUUUAUCCUACUUUCCGGAUCAAAAGAGGCCGCGGUGGAAGAACUGUGAAGAACUCGGGAUGAACUACGAAGAACAAGGGAAGAACGACAGAACCCUAAUGCAAACCUACUAUAUGGAGUGGCAAGUACUUACUGGCGCUGAUGAGAUGCGGAGGUGGCCGCCGUUUCUCUGGACCAGUUCAGGGUGAUGCAGCGGCUGAGGUCGAGGAAGACAAGGGGCGCGGCGGCGGCGGCUGGAGCUCGGGCUCUGGAGCGUCAGAGGAGGAAGACGAUGGAGGAGAAGAGUGACGAAGGCUUAUGGGCCGGGCCUAUUUAUAAGGGACGGCUGAUAAAUGGGCGCGAGAAACGAGGAGGCCAAGACGCGAUUAUCUCGCUACAGAAACGCCUCGAUUUUCGGGAUGGUUAUUAAAGAUAAGAUCCGUUGGGAUAUGACGGAAUAAAAAAUGAAUUUAAUGGAAGAUGACGUCACGGCGGGUUACCAAGAGUCCAGAAGAUGACGUCACGGCGGGUUAUAACCUUUGCACAAGCAGAAGCCGGAAGAUUUUCUUUCAAAGGGAUUGAAGAUUAACAUGAACCGGUUCAAAUCAAUCUGGGGCCUAAUGUUGAGGAUAUAACCAUUAGAGUCACCCGCCCAGGAGGGGCCGGGUUACGUUAUAAUGAUCAUCACGUGAAGCCCAGUACCAGGCUAGAGGAUGGCGGAUCAAUAGUGGGCUUAAGACCCGGAGGCGGCUUAAGGCCCGUAGUGAUAAACCGCCGUUAUGACAAGACUUGUAAUGUAAGGCAAGAGUAGUUAAGAGUCCGAGCCGGAUACUGUUAUAAGCCGGCCGGGACUCUGAGAGCCGCGGGGCGUCAACCUCUCUAUAUAAAGGGACGACCCGGCGGCGGUUCAGGACGAGAGACAACAGAUCGAGAGCCGGGCAUAGCGAUUAAGCUCCCUGGUCAUCAAAACCCUAAGUAAUACCACCUCAACUGGACGUAGGCUUUUACCUUCACCGUAAGGGGCCGAACUAGCAUAACCCUCGUGUUCCUUGUCCCGUUUAACCCCUUUAAGCUUCCUAACUGCGAUGGCUCCACGACUAAGUCCUUGCACGAGGACAUCUGCCGUGACAAUUCCACGACAGUGAGAAUCAUCGUGUUGUUUUCCCAUCCGAAAAACAGAUUACUAGUACUGAGUGAAGUUUUAUGUUUGUACUGAGCGUUUUGUUUUUUCCAUUUCGAAAACAGAGUAGUUGAAAUGAUCUUUGUAUGUGUUUGUUAUGAACAUGUUUUCACAGAUGGGAUGUCAUUUUUUUAACUGUAUAAUAAAAUAGUGGACUUAUAUGUCCGGAUGUUUUGAACGGCCUCCGGUCAAGACAUGGACUAAUAGAACUGAUCCUUUUUUGGGAUUACAAUUUUAGAUUUGUUUUCUCGUCCAAACUGACGACACCAUCAGCUCCGAAUUUGCAUGGUUUAACUAGUUGAACUGAUGGAUGUUUUCUUCUUGUUUUGUUCAAACUCAAACAUUUUUUGCAGUGAAGGUAUGUACUUCCUUUUGUUUGCAACUUGAACAAUUUUCAUGAUUUUUAUAAUAAAUAUUUGUACUUCUUUUUGUUUUGUUCAAUGAAGAAAAUAGUGAUCAUUUGAACUAAUUGGACAAUAACAUGUGAGCUUACAGUAAUUUAUCACUCGAACUUGUAGCAAUAGAAAUAAGAAAUGUGUACGGCCUCCACACCAUUGCAUUGGUGUACUCCGGCGUGAGGAACAAAUCCUGCCAUAUUUGAUACAUACCCACGCAUCCUAGUUGACAUUUGUUCUGUGGAAUGUCGAUGACAUAUACUGAAGAACAUGAUGGCAGUACUGGAGUAGAUGGUCAGGUACUUGGUCAGCUUUGUCUGCAACAGCAGCCAGAAGGAGAAGCACGGGCAGUUGAACAGCAAAGCCAUGGUGCCCAGCAUCCAGCUCCUGUUGCCACUGCUGUCGGAGGGUGAUGCAUGGUGAGCAGCUGGGCAGCCUGGGCUAGGUGCAGUAGCGGCCUGGUGCGUCAGUGGCACACCCUUGUAGAGACUCAGCGGCAGCAAGCCGGCCAGCGACGUGAGCGUUCUGGUGAUCUUUGCGGCUCCCGCCAUGCUGUUCACCUUCAGCGGUUCCAUCCUCAUCACGACGGCGAUGAGGAAGGUGAGCACAGGAGAGAGGUUGAUGAAGGUUAUGGUGAAGGUGGCGGUGGUGUACUGCCGGCCAUAGAAGGUGUACUGCGAGAGCGCCGCGCCAAACACGGUGCUGAAGAAGAGGUACGCCAGGACCUCCAAUGUGAGCUUGGGCCUCGUGCUCCUGCAGGAAUGCCAUGGCGUUAUGCAGUUUUAGUCACCCAGGGAAUGAAUGCAGAUUGUAUGUACAAGGAUGCAUGUGUUUGCAUACCGUUCUUUGAAAAAGGCUAUUGGAGCAGAGAAGAUGGUGGCGACCAGCUGCCGGAGGGUGACGAGGACCAGGCGGUUCAGCCCUUGCUCCAGAGCCUUCUUCACCAGCGCCGUCAUCACAGCAGAGAUGAGGUCGAAGGCCAGCAUUCCCGUCACCGGCUUCCACUCCUGCACCCACAUUGUAAGAUUGCCGCUACAAGAUGACUGAUACGCUCAUUAACUGUCUGAUUAUAUAUAUAGCCCUGCAAUGCUACUCACUGACCAAAAGUGACGGCCGUCAUUCAUGCAAGGGGGGCAAAAAAGUAAAUGCUAAUAUGCUAUCAACAUAAUAAAUUAUUUCCUUUGCUACUCUUGUGACAACUUACUCGUACUACUGAAGAUUUUUUAUAAUAAUCUAUAAAAUGGCAUAUCAGUAGACAGUAGGAAUCAAAUUGGUAGUGCAAACGUGAAAGUAAAAUAUAUGUCCUGAUUCAGCCCCUUACCUUUUCUGGUGCCCCGACCAAAAUUACAUAAGAUGCCAAGAAAGUGGAUAAAAUACGGAAGCACUGAGACUGCAGAAACUCCUUUUAUGUAUGUGGACUAGUCGUCAAACUUCCUAACAUAAAGAAAACUUCCAAAAGAACCUGAUACUUGCCAUUAGUAAAAAAGGUGAGCUGGUAUAUGUCAACCAGCAAUGCUAUCCUUGAGUCAGCAAUACUAUGACAAGAUGCAGUGAAUUUCUCAACUCAAACACCACUACUGACCAUUCACCUUUGCGCUUGUUAGUGUGAUUUUGCUCCUGCCCAACUGUCAUUUUCAAUGGGAAAUUAGGUUUAGUUUUGCAUUCCAAUGAACGCAGUAAAACCCACCAACGAGUGUUUUCUGUAAUCAUUUGGUACACUGUUGAAUACCAGGCAAGGAAGGCAACCUCACCAGGCACCACGCUACCAGAAAGUAAAGUGCACAAAUAUGAAACAUUGCAUUCAAGGGUAAUUUUCAUCUACGGGAAAACUGGAACUUGCAUAUACACACUAAAGACUGUCAAAUUCCUUGAACUCAGGAAACUGGAAAAAAUGAGAAUUGAACUGAAUGAAAUUUAAAAAUUGUACUGAACUGAAAAAAGAAACUGGACAUCAUAGGUACAUCGAGAAAAUAGAUUGUAUGGAAGCACAAGAAGAUAUAUAGACUAAAAUAAGAAUUGAAAUGAAAUGAAUCUAGAAUAAGAUUUGGACUAAGCUAAAUUUAGAAAUUGAACUGGACUAGAAUUAGAAAUUGAACGGAACUAAAACAAGAAACUGGACUGAACAAAAAAUAAGAAUUAAAAUGAACUAAAAUAGGAAAAUUGAGCUGAACAAAAAUUAGAAAUUGAACGGAACUAAGAAACUGAAUUGAGACCACUGUGAACACAAAUAUUUAUUUUGCACAGUAAACUACAUGUCACAUUUAAGAGCAGCUUUUCUUUCCUGCCUUCCAACGUCAUGUAAGCAGUGAUUAUGACCUCUUGGAAACUUUUAUUUUGUUUAUACGCAUCAGGAGAGGGAAGUUUACAUAAUAAUUUUUUUCUGUGAACCUACAUCACUGACCCUGCUUGGACUGUUGGUGUUUUUGUCACUGCAAUUUAAUUUAGUUAUUCAGUAUAAUUUCACUAUUACAUUUUUUAGUGAAAUGUGAUUCAGAAACCACCCGAAGUAAAGUAACAUCUAUUUCAAAAUGGAUGGCUAUAGUUGAGACAGAAUUUAAGUUUCAGCAAUGCCCUUGCGGCAAAGCAAACUAAAAUGUAUCAUUUUCCUCAGGAUUUUGAACAUUAAAAGCAUAAUGCCCUAGAAGACAGCAUGAGAAUUAUUCAACAAAACACAGAAAAGUGAACAACAAAUUUUAUUUGAUUUCGCAAGUGAUAUGUAACUAGAGUAGCGAAGGUACCAAGCAAAUGCACAAUACUAUUGACUAACACGUGAAGUGGAUGCACGUGUGCCUUAAAGCGUAGGGUUGUACUGACACACUCAGCAUCAGGGGAUUUCCAAUUCGCACAAGAUCGAAGUGCACCAGUUCGUUAUGCGAAGGCCGGCUGCCUGGCUCGUCACCGUCGAACUGAACCCCGCGCCCCUGUUGAACUGCUGAAAUAUUUUAGUACGGGUUAGAUACAGUGCCAAACUAGUACCUGAAAAUCUCAUCCCCAAAUAUGCAUGUCAAUCUUCACAGUUGGAAGUAAUCUGAGCUAUCUCAAAACAUUGAACUGAUACAUACAUGCAAGAACGAAACCGGUACAAGCAAUACAAACAAUCAAUAUGAG